AAAAAAUAGUUUCUGAAGUACAAGUGGGGAUUCAGAAUGGAACUAAUAAACAGAAUAAAUUUGCUCUCUUGUUGAGUAGAUUUCCGUGCUGUAAUCUGUGGCAGAAUAAUUGUCAAGUCUUGGGAACUUCCAGCAGUGGCCUGCGACAAACUUAUGAAAACAUCACAAAAAGGGAUCAACUUGUAAAGAGUGUUUCCUUACUUUGAUUGGCCCACCAGGUGUCGGAGAGACUGCAACGGUCAAAGCUUAUGUAAAUCUCCUGAUAUUAAGUUAUUUGCUUGGUCAAAUAAGCAUCAAGAAAAUGCUAAACACAAAUAAUGGCAUGUUCUGCUUUGGAGAUCAGAUAACCUCUAGGGAAACUCAAGCUCGGUCCUUAUGUCUAUUUCUCUUACAAUCAUCGAAAUAUUUUUACAUUCAAAUGGUAAAAGAAUGAUACUUAUUGAGGUGAGACUUUUUUAUUUCAAUUAUUUAAUUAUCAAACAAUGACAUUUAAAAGAGUGGGAACUGGGAAUUUUUUUUA
Molecule: non-coding RNA, 520 nt
Organism: Parasteatoda tepidariorum (common house spider)
Lineage: Eukaryota; Metazoa; Arthropoda; Arachnida; Araneae; Theridiidae
Source: RefSeq, a predicted model, not a curated record